UCGUCUCCUCCCCAAUCCCCUCCUCUGCCGCCGCCACAUCUCCUUCCAUCGUGUGGCCGGCCGCCAGCCUCCUCCCCGCCCCUCCCCCUCGCGAUCGCCGGCUGCAGCCGCCUGCAACUCCCCGCUGUCGAUCUCCGCCGGCGUGAUCGUGAGCCUCCUCUAGCCCUUUCACGGCCGCGCCCUCACCAUCCCCAGCCGAGCUCCGCCGCGGCCUCCACCCCAGCGGCCAUACACCGCACAAAAAGCGGCAGCCUCAAUCCCCAGCCCCUCCUCCCCGUGUGCAGUGGUCGGCCGGCCGGCUUAGUUUCUGCGCUCCUGCAUGGACUCUGUGGGAUUCAACGCUGGUUGAUGGGUUUGGGCCCUCGGAUGCGUCGCCGCCUGGAGUCGCUCACUCACUGAUGUGUGGAGUUGCCUCGCCGCCGUGCCCAUUGUAGUUCUCAUGGUCUAACAGCCGUGCAAUUUAUGCCCUCGAAACUUGGCUGAAGGCUAUUGCAAAUAAAUCAUGGAUUGGAGUGAAUUAGUGGAUAUGCAUAUUUGUUGUGCAGGCUAGAAGGUGAAGAUCGAUUGGUGUUGCAUAUUUGUUGUGCAGACCAGAUGAUGCAGGUCAAUUGGUGUCUGUAUUAUUCCCUAUGUGGCAGUGUGUUCAGUUUUAGGAAAGGGAAUAAUACUGUGAGAGGUACUAUCAUCUCAGAGGUGAGCUAUUUAUCCGGUUCUAAGUGCACUUUGUUUCUCCAUUUUUAAUGACAUGAGGGUCCGAGUUCUCUGGGCUGAUCUACCUGAAGCCAUGUCUCAGACUCAUUCAUUCCCUAGGUGUGCCUUUAUUCAUACGAAGGUUGAUUUAUACGUAUCGGUUGACCCUAAUUUUGUUGGAUUUCAUGGGAAACAUUGCGAAGCUUGACCCUGGAAAGGGAUGCAUGAAGUGACUGGUUCUUGCUAUGGGAACUUUCAAUAUUGCAAUGGAGCCAAGAAAUUUCUUUGAAGUUCAUUUUCGAGAACCUUGAGUAAAGAUGAUCAGGCCAUCCAUGAGCCAGAGACAAUCCAGCUUUUGAGAAAUAUAGUUGUAAAUUGCAUAUGUACAUAUUGUAGCUUUCGAAAAAUAUUUGUGUUCAUCUAGAUCUCUGGUUUAUCAGAUUGGUUGAUGUCUGGUCUAGAUUGGUUCUCGUCUGCUUGUGAGGCAUAGUUGUAAAUCGCAUAUGUACAUAUUGUAGCUUUUGAGAAAUACUAGAUCUCUGGUUUAUAGAUCAUGAAAGAGCUUGCAAAAUCCUCCUUGCAGAUGGUGUUAGGGUUGCAUGCCCUCGACGCUCUCCCUCUCCGCCCCGGCCAGCCAUCAAGGUCUUGAGGUGUGCAAGAUGGUGGCUGAUGAAUAUGCUAGAGUUCAACACACUGAAGUGUACUUAUCGGUUUGUUAAAGAAAUUUAUGAAUCCUGGGUGUACGUGUUCUCUGUACAGGUUCUGAAAAUCAUUUUCUUAUAGUGAUAUUCCACAUGAAUUUAUAUGAAUAGACAUAGGGAAUGGUGUGCAGGAAGUUAUUGUAUAAUCUUCAGCAUUACAAUAUUAUUAUCAUUCUCUCUGCAAGAAGUUUAAUUCAUUACUGUUACCUUUUGGCCCGAAUGAUUUUUUUUUUAAAAUGAUUUUUCUUUGGCCAUGUAGAGUGAAUGCUAUUCUGAACUUCAAAAGCAGUGAGGGGCUCAUUUUGGAACAAGAACAUAAUUUUUAGAAAAUACUGAGAUCAUGGUGACCAUGUAUUCUCUACACUUGGAUUUGCAUCUUCUCUCUUCAGUGCUUUGAUGUGUUACAGACUGUUAAAAAUUAUUUUAGAUUUAUUGUUUGUAUAAAUGUUGUUGUGAGUUAUACCUUUUAGCUUUAGCCUUUGGUAUUAUACAUGUGUAUUUCGAUUAAUAGAUUGCUUUCAGGAUUAUGUUUUGGUGCUUUGGAUGUUCCAAUCUAUUGUUGCUUAUAUACUUAUUUAUUCUUUUUGUCACAUAGCAUUAUAGUUUAAAGGGUAGUUUUUUUAAUACUUCCAUGUUUGAAGAAUAAACUGCUCGCCGGGGGAUAAUAUCUCUGCUUUCUUUUAAUUCAGAUGUGUAAUCCUUCAGUUUUUUGGGAUAUGCCCCCUUAGUACAAUAUUAAUAAAUGGUAUUGACGUCACAUUAAGAGAGGUAACGGAAGGACUGGAUAGCAGAGAAAUAAAUUGAUCACAUUUCAGUUUAAACGCCACUAGAUUGUUACUAGUGUAGUGUGCUUAAAAUUUCUUAUAUGUCUCUUAUCUUCCCUCCAUUUUCCCAUGUUUCAUUGAAAGAGAUACCUUGUUUUACGAGGGGGUAUGGUCCGCACAUUUGACAUUUUUCUUUGUGCUUCCGGUAUUUGCUGCAUUUUAUAUGCUUUGUUCAUUGGGUCGUGCUUUAGGUACAAGCAGUAUACGUGAACCAAGGAUACUAUGUAAAUUGGUAUUAACUAUACAUUAUAAUGGUUAAUGUAAACCCUUGCAGGUGUCAGUAGAAGUUAUUAUGCAUCCUCUCAUGGGCAGCACCAAAAGGCCAUAGUCGACGCUAAGUUCUGAACUUCAGAGGUCCUCACUGUUGGCCUUUCUUUUAUUUUGUGAUUGUUCACUUGACCAUAUACUAUUUUAGUUCUUAGAUGAUUCCUUUUUUGUUUACAUCCCUACCAUAGAAUAAACAGAAGAAAAUAUUUAAAAGCACAUUAGGUGAUAUUGAGGCUAAUUCCUAUGGCCAGGUGUACGGCUAGAGGGUUUAAAUUAUUUUCUUAUCUUUGAUGAAAUUGUCCGUAUUAUCUUUGUGUGCUCCUUAUCUUUUCUCAGAUUAUUAUAUGAAAAGAAGAAACUAUAUUUUUCUUAUAAUGGCGUGAUGGUUCAGUUUUUGGGUAGCAUAGAACACUACAAAAAAGAAGGGUAACAAUACAGAGAUACAAGUAUGCGGAAAGCUGAUCAAAGGGUAGAUAACUGUCAGACCUGCUCUUGCAUCACUGGCAGGAGAAUACAUGUUAUUCUCUCUCCGCUCCUGGACACAAGCAGUUGGGUGAUUUCAUAUGAACAGUAGAAAUUGUAGUUGAAAUCCAUUAGAGCUUAGCUGUUUAUCCGUAAAUUGUCAUAGAUGGUAGCACUAUACACAUAACACAACAAUAAUCUACUUAUGCUACAAUAUUUAAAUGCAGUCUAUAGCUUUUCUGCGAGGCAUUGUUCGCCAUGUGGUGUCGAGUGUUGCUAUCUGAUUUUUUUUGUCUCGCUGCAGUCUAUAUCUUUUCCCAAAUGGCCAAAUCAACUGCUUUUCUUACUAAAAGAAUGGUAGAAAUUAUAUGUGAAGGUCAAGUAUGAAUUUGCAGCUGACAAUGUGAUCCUAAUGUGUAUUAUAGAAAUCAUUUGCAUCAGCUUGGUUUAAUAUUUUGAGUUACUUUGUAGUUACUUUCAUGGUUGUCAGCGUCCCAGGCCCUAGGUGAGUUCUUGCAAAUAUUUAUUUCCUAUAAUCCAGGUCAAGGUUUAUCGUACUUUUAAUCAAGAUUCUGAUCUACUUGCAUUUUGUGGUAUUUAUCCUGAGACUGAAAUGGUUAUUCGAGGUUACUUGCACUGAUAAAUAGAGACUGAGCCAGUCAUCUAUCAUGAUUCUGAUCUACCUCUAUUCUAUCAAGAUUCUGAUCUACCUCCAUUUUCUGGUCUUCUUUUGUAGAGGUUGAGCCCAUCUGGAAAGGAGCAACUGAACUGAUAAUUUGCUUGGCUCGUGCAAGAAUGGAUAAUGUGAUUGUGGCGCAGUUCUCAGAUGGCUAUAUGGAUGCAGUUAUAAUAAGAGACUUUCCAAAGGCUGAUCUCAUAGCUUUGCUACUCAAGGGCCGUUGUCCCGUUUAAGGUUGCUGCCUGAAGGCUCUGUUGUUUUCUGGUAGAUUUGGGAUUCAACUCUGUUGCAGGUAAGCUUUAGCAUCUGAAAGGGAUCUUUUGGGAAUCAUGUUCUGCUAGAAGAUUUCAGUUUGCCAGUGUUGCAGUAGUUUGCAAGCAAUCUUCUCAUGUUGUAUAUCCUCUCCAAGCCACUAUAUGUUCAUUAGAUCGGUUAUGCUUCACAUUAUACAGUUUGGCAGCAUGAUCAUGUAUCGUAUACAGUUUGAUAAGUGUGUUAAAUAUUGCUGAAGUUGGUGUUGCUUUUUAAUGG
Long non-coding RNA from Lolium perenne, 4154 nucleotides. RefSeq lists it as uncharacterized. Lineage: Eukaryota; Viridiplantae; Streptophyta; Magnoliopsida; Poales; Poaceae. The record is from RefSeq and is a predicted model, not a curated record.